RNAcentral lists this ribosomal RNA (440 nucleotides) under uncultured bacterium. RNAcentral's name for it is "partial 16S ribosomal RNA". It matches the Rfam family "Bacterial small subunit ribosomal RNA", at positions 338 to 795 of the family's 1533-position model. The record is from RNAcentral.
CCUACGGGUGGCAGCAGUGGGGGAUAUUGCACAAUGGGGGGAACCCUGAUGCAGCGACGCCGCGUGGGUGAAGAAGCGCCUCGGCGCGUAAAGCCCUGUCAGCAGGGAAGAAAAUGACGGUACCUGAAGAAGAAGCCCCGGCUAACUACGUGCCAGCAGCCGCGGUAAUACGUAGGGCGCAAGCGUUAUCCGGAUUUACUGGGUGUAAAGGGGGCGCAGACGGCGAUGCAAGCCAGGAGUGAAAGCCCGGGGCACAACCCCGGGACUGCUCUUGGAACUGCGUGGCUGGAGUGCAGGAGGGGCAGGCAGAAUUCCUGGUGUAGCGGUGAAAGGCGGAGAUAUCAGGAGGAACACCGGCGGCGAAGGCGGGCUGCUGGACCGCGACUGACGUUGAGGCUCGAAAGCGUGGGGAGCGAACAGGAUUAGAUACCCGGGUAGUC